This is a long non-coding RNA of Drosophila innubila, 1499 nucleotides long. RefSeq lists it as uncharacterized. The transcript has 2 exons. The record is from RefSeq and is a predicted model, not a curated record. Lineage: Eukaryota; Metazoa; Arthropoda; Insecta; Diptera; Drosophilidae.
UUUUGAAAUCCAAGUUUUUAAAUUAAAGUAUUCGGUAUACAGAAUAAUAGCACCUCGAAAAAAGAAUUUGUGUAAUCAAACAGAUCUCCACUGGACUUUAAUUUGUAUUAAAAUUUAAGUAUUGGAAGAAACAUCAUCAAGAGUAGUAAGCAAAUAAAAGCGAGUAAAAUAUGUUUCCCAAAUGCCGCAUUUGCAAGACAAGCUCAGGAGUCUUAGGGAACAUAUUUCCUAAAAGGAGGGAAACCUUUUCCAACCUUCUCGAACCGAAAGUAAAAUGUAGGAAUAAAAUGCCAAAGCCCUUGCGCAAAAUUUCUUUAUCGGAUGAUCCCGCAUCAAUUAUAUUCAAGCGAAACAACAAGCUGACUCUUAUGCAAUCAAAUAAUAACUCUGAUAUUGGAAAUGAAAGCGAGAACCAGGAGAGCAUGAACGAAGAACCUCAAAGCGAUGAGCCGCAAUUUGAUGAGCCUCAAAACGAAGAGCCUGAAAACGAAGAGAACCAAAACGAAGAGAACCAAAACGAAGAUAAACCAGAGGAGGAGACAUCUGAUGAAAGCGAAAGUGUUAAUAAGAAAGAAUAUCUACGAAGUCAUAUACCAUUUCACGAAAGAUCAAAUUUUUACGACGAACCGAGAAGAAGGAACGAAAAUACUUCGAAGAUAUUUAAGCUACCAUUUUGCAAUAUAUUAUGAAAAUUGCUACUUAAAAUCUUCAGAGGUUUAUAUAAUAGAUAAGAAUCAAGCUUGUUAAGCUCCAAAUAAAAAGAAAUGGAUAUGGAAGACUAAUACAGAGAAGGUAUAGAGUCUAUACUAUAGACUUUACUUCUAGAAAGUUCUUUAAAAAGGUUGUAAGUACAGAUAAUGUAUUGUUUAAAUAAAUUCAAUAAGAAGGUGGAAAAUUCGAAAUUACGGAUCAUAAUAAAUUGGUGGUUAUAUAGGCAGAUUCAUAUAGAGGGAAAUGCUUAAAGGCCUCAGUUAAAGCCACAGACAACACAUCACACUUGCUAAUCUCUAUCCCCCCUGACACUGUCCAAAAUGUGUCUAACAACAAUUCAAUCAAAUGGCAGCUACAAGUUCCUAAAACUAAUUAAAAUGCCAUCAACGGAUUGCAUGUGCCAUGUGGAAGCCGCGGGCGAUGCGACUACAUGAGACUAUAAUGCCGAUACAUGGGGAAUCCAGGGGAAGUUGGAGGACAAAGGGUGGUGUCACAGUUGGAGCUGCCAUUUACGCGUAAUUUGGCGCGCCUAAAAGCAUCCCGGGAAAAAAAACAGACAGGAGAUCCUUUGGGUUUUUGCAGUGAGGUCCGCAGUGUUUUGGCAAGGCUUGUCAACGUGUUCACGAGCUCGCAGACCGCCAAAAACCGCGUGAUUUAUGCGCUUUUAAAGCACUUAACGGUGAACAAGUCUAUGAAGUCCUAAGCCAGAGGUCAGCUGGAGGAGAUGAGGAAAAUGGAGAAAGCUUACAAUAAAUUUUCGCGAAUAAAUCUUUCAACUACAUAAAUCU